RNAcentral lists this ribosomal RNA (429 nucleotides) under uncultured bacterium. RNAcentral's name for it is "bacterial SSU rRNA". It matches the Rfam family "Bacterial small subunit ribosomal RNA", at positions 355 to 776 of the family's 1533-position model. The record is from RNAcentral.
UCGAGAAUCAUUCGCAAUGGGCGAAAGCCUGACGAUGCGACGCCGUGUGAGCGAUGAAGGCCUUCGGGUUGUAAAGCUCUUUCGCCUGGGAACAAGAGAGGGUGACAAAUAGUCGUCCGAUUUGAGGGUACCAGGUAAAGAAGCACCGGCUAACUCCGUGCCAGCAGCUGCGGUAAUACGGAGGGUGCAAGCAUUAAUCGGAAUUAUUGGGCGUAAAGGGCGCGUAGGCGGCUUCUUAAGUCAGGUGUGAAAUUCUGGAACUCAAUUCCAGCGCUGCACUUGAAACUGGGAGGCUAGAGGGUUUGCGGAGAAAACGGAAUUCCACAUGUAGCGGUGAAAUGCGUAGAUAUGUGGAAGAACAUCGGUGGCGAAGGCGGUUUUCUAGUGGAUACCUGACGCUGAGGCGCGAAAGCAAGGGGAGCAAACAGG